AUAUUUCAUGUUUCGUCGCGAGCUGCAAGGAAUGUUUUUCGCUCUCGGGCUCAUCGUCUCCCAGUUCGUCAACGAAUUCAUCAAGACAUCCCUGCAGCAAGCCCGUCCGGUGACCUGCCCGCUCCUAUACCUAAUGUGUUUCAGGUCGAAUAUGAUAAUGCGAGGGCUGCCAGGAAGAAUAUGGCUUCUAAGUGCAAUUGAUCGAUAGUAAAAUCAUCUCCAAAAUAAUCAUUCCUAAGGAGACGGAGGAGAGAGUAAACUGAGAGAGAAUGGUGAUAAUUUGGCUUUAAGAAACAUUUUCAUUUGGCAGGAGCGUGAAAUGAAGCAUAAAAGCUAGUUGUCAUUUGUUUUGCCUUCAUACCUUUUGGAGUUGAGUAGCAUUCUUAAGGGCUUAUUUGCUAGUUUGGAAAGGUAAUAUUACUCGGAAAUCUUUUCUGAUUGGAUGAGCAAAUGCAUUAUGGACGGAACUUGGUUUUUUUUCCUACUCUUUCCCCCUCUAUUAAAAAAAGGCUUCACCAACCUCUCAUCUCUUCUCCUGUCUCCUAAUUGAGUGCAGGGUUAUGGUCAAUUAGUGGCGUACGGUUUAACUAUAUACCAUGUCAAGAUUUUCAGUAUGUAUGAGUAGUUUUUGGAAGAAGAAAAAAACAGAGCUUAAGUUUGAACUGCAAAUGCUUCCUUGGUGCACAACAGAUUCUUCUUGACCCGGCUUCUUGCUGGCAUAUCAUAUGAUAUUGGCCAUGAGGGAUUAAGGCCAAAGGUCGGCAAGGGAUAUGUUUCAGAGACUGAGGGUUUUGGCUGAAGGGUUUCAUGAACCAGAUGGGCAGAUUUCAGUUUCCUACCGGUUUGGUGGAGUUCUGCCAUCUGAACUAAAUCAGAAACUGUGCCAUCUGCAAAUUGGACAACAUGAAACCAAAUUGUAGAGCUGGAACCAGAACUGCAUUGAGCCCAAUCCAAACUCCAGCAAAAGGAAGCUGAACUCCAAGCUCUAAAGGACUGUGUUAAACAUCUGAUCCAAUUAUCUCUUUCAAAUGUUUCAGCUCUAAAAACUUAUUUGAUGCCGGACAGCCUAUAUUUCAUAGAGACACUAGAAUAUGAUCAUAUGGUGUGAAAUAUCAUAGUUCUAAUUUUCAUCGUUGUUUUUCAGAAGAUGAAACAGAAGCACAGGAGGAAAAAGAGCAAUAUGCUGUAUGUGAUGAUAAUGUUACGGCAGGAUGCAAGCUGAGAAGAUCAAUGGUUGGGAUGAAAAGAGCAAUUGACUGUUAAUCGGUGGAAUAACAUGUACCAUAUAAACCCUAAACCCAAAAAAUAAUAAUAAUAAAUAGUGUCAGAAUUCAGAACUCA
Molecule: long non-coding RNA, 1341 nt
Organism: Tripterygium wilfordii
Lineage: Eukaryota; Viridiplantae; Streptophyta; Magnoliopsida; Celastrales; Celastraceae
Exons: 4
Source: RefSeq, a predicted model, not a curated record